GAAGGAUGUAAGAUAUGGUAGGCUCUUAGCACCAUGGAAGGCCUUUCUUUGGGAACUCCAAGUCUUCCUAAGUGGGGCCCAUGGCUGAAUACUGUGCUUCUCUCUAUGUCUGACCCCAUGUCUCUUGGUGUGUUCUGUCUUCCCACAGAGAGGCUGAGGGAGAGGCUGGGAUUCCAAAGGCUGCUAGGAUGUUUUCCUUGGUCAUCAUGGAGCAGGAGGAAGGGCUGGGCCAACACCACUACCACCAGCCCAGCUGAGGAUGGUUUCCAGGACCCCUCAGAGGAGCUGGCACUGACAGUUCUGUCUCCCAAUGGACACUGUGAGGACAUCGAGGGAAGGACAGGGGCCUAGAUGCCCCAGGCCACCACCCAGAUCCUGGAGUGACAGGCUGUGAGCACCAAUGGGACUUAGGACCUUUGGGUUCUGUUCCUGCCCCUGCCUCAUCUUGAAGGCUGGAGCUGGGCCGUUCCCUAUUCUAUGCUCCAAUCUGUCUCCAUCCCAAGUGGAAAGUGAUGGUACCUGCCACCUCUAUACCUUUCACUAGUGUGGUGAGACAGGGUUGGUGAUCAGAGAAGAAGUGUGCCUCACUGACCUGAGCAGCGGAUGGCAAAAUUGGGCUUUCUGGGAUCUGCUCCUAGCCCAGAGCUAUCUUACUCUGUGUUCAAGGCUGUUACUUCAUUACUCUAUGCCUCAGUUUAUCAGUCUGUAAAUUGAAAGGAAGAUACACCCACCUUGUAGUGGUGUUAUAUGAAGUCCCUACCUUGGGAAGGGUGACAUAGGACUUUGUAGAUCUACAGUGUUAUAGAAAUCUCCAUGUUGGUCAAUGUGCGUGAUGGGCUUUGCGUGUGUGCUCAGUCAUACACAUUCCUCAUUUCCACUAUCAUGUAGUGGAAAGAACAUUAACCUAGAAUUUAGGAUACCUAGGCUCUGACACUAGCUCACUAACUGAAAAACUAGGGGCCUCCACUGCCUUAUCUGUAGAAUGAAGGGAAUGGACCAUGUGACCUUAAAAGGUCUUUUCCAGCUAUGACAUUCCUAGAUUGCGUCCUCGAGAAUAAAUAGAUACACCUCGAGGAUAAAUAAAUACA
This 1088-nucleotide long non-coding RNA is filed under the name Phascolarctos cinereus (koala). Its description in RNAcentral is "lncRNA (ENSPCIG00000036895.1)". The record is from RNAcentral. Lineage: Eukaryota; Metazoa; Chordata; Mammalia; Diprotodontia; Phascolarctidae.